Molecule: long non-coding RNA, 219 nt
Organism: Octopus sinensis (East Asian common octopus)
Lineage: Eukaryota; Metazoa; Mollusca; Cephalopoda; Octopoda; Octopodidae
Exons: 3
Source: RefSeq, a predicted model, not a curated record
AAGUGAUGUACAGAUAUUAUAUAUUACAAAAAAUAAGGUAUUCAGAGAUCUGGAUGGUUGUACAUAUACAAAUAUUUAUUAACAUGCCACAUGUUUUUACAAAUCACAUAUAAGCGCUUUCAUCGACUGUAAUAGAUUCUUCAGAUUUAAAUUUUGUGAAGGGAUUUGUCUCUUUUUAUAGUAUUUGUGAAUGGCUUGGGUGGAGAGAGAGGGGGAAGA